GCUACUACCGAUUGGGCGUUUUAGUGAGCGCCUCGGAUUGGACCCGGAAAUGGUUGGCAACAACCGUACCGGUGUGCCGAAAAGACGCGCAAACUUGAACGCCUAGAGGAAGUAAAAGUCGUAACAAGGUUUCC
RNAcentral lists this ribosomal RNA (134 nucleotides) under Donax variabilis. RNAcentral describes it as "partial 18S ribosomal RNA". It matches the Rfam family "Eukaryotic small subunit ribosomal RNA", at positions 1678 to 1804 of the family's 1831-position model. The record is from RNAcentral. Lineage: Eukaryota; Metazoa; Mollusca; Bivalvia; Cardiida; Donacidae.